AGAGUACGUGAAACCGCUUAGAGGUAAACGGGUGGAUCCGCAAAGUCGGCCCGGGGAAUUCAACUUGUCGUUGUCGGGCGGCGGGAUCCGUAAAGACCCAGCACUUUCCUCGGGUAGAGCGCCACGACCGGUUUCGGACGGCGGUCACAAGCCGGACGGGAAGGUGACCUGACAUCCUCGUGGUGGCCAGGUGUUAUAGCCCGUCUAGUGUCGACUCGUCCCGAGACCGAGGAUUUGCCGCACCUCGACUGCUCUCGGCUCUCUGCGUGCGUUCGACUGGGGAAGCCACUGCUUGCAGUUCUCUCCGACCGCGUGCGUGGAUCUGUCGGGAAGCAACGGGGCGCCACGGGUCAAUGUCGA
This 360-nucleotide ribosomal RNA is filed under the name Leiosolenus curtus. RNAcentral describes it as "partial 28S ribosomal RNA". The record is from RNAcentral. RNAcentral also lists the same sequence under 1 other name. Lineage: Eukaryota; Metazoa; Mollusca; Bivalvia; Mytilida; Modiolidae.